GACGAACGCUGGCGGCGUGCUUAACACAUGCAAGUCGAACGGAAAGGCCCUGCUUGCAGGGUGCUCGAGUGGCGAACGGGUGAGUAACACGUGGGUGAUCUGCCCCUUACUUUGGGAUAAGCCUGGGAAACUGGGUCUAAUACUGGAUAGGACCAUGCUGUAGGUGGUGUGGUGGAAAGAUUAGUUUCGGUAAGGGAUGAGCUCGCGGCCUAUCAGCUUGUUGGUGGGGUAAUGGCCUACCAAGGCGUCGACGGGUAGCCGGCCUGAGAGGGUGGACGGCAACAUUGGGACUGAGACACGGCGCAGACUCCUACGGGAGGCAGCAGUGGGGAAUAUUGCACAAUGGGCGCAAGCCUGAUGCAGCGACGCCGCGUGGGGGAUGACGGCCUUCGGGUUGUAAACUCCUUUCAGCCAUGACGAAGCCCUUGUGGUGACGGUAGUGGUAGAAGAAGCACCGGCUAACUACGUG
RNAcentral lists this ribosomal RNA (469 nucleotides) under uncultured bacterium. Its description in RNAcentral is "partial 16S ribosomal RNA". It matches the Rfam family "Bacterial small subunit ribosomal RNA", at positions 28 to 507 of the family's 1533-position model. The record is from RNAcentral.